Molecule: ribosomal RNA, 301 nt
Filed under: uncultured bacterium
Lineage: Bacteria
Description: partial 16S ribosomal RNA
Rfam family: Bacterial small subunit ribosomal RNA
Source: RNAcentral
CAGUCGCCGCGGGAACACGAAGGGGGCUAGCGUUGUUCGGAUUUACUGGGCGUAAAGGGUGCGUAGGCGGAUUUUUAAGUCAGGGGUGAAAUCCCAAGGCUCAACCUUGGAACUGCCUUUGAUACUGGAGAUCUUGAGUCCGGGAGAGGUGAGUGGAACUGCGAGUGUAGAGGUGAAAUUCGUAGAUAUUCGCAAGAACACCAGUGGCGAAGGCGGCUCACUGGCCCGGUACUGACGCUGAGGCACGAAAGCGUGGGGAGCAAACAGGAUUAGAUACCCCAGUAGUCCCUGUCUCUUAUAC